RNAcentral lists this small RNA (69 nucleotides) under Peribacillus loiseleuriae. RNAcentral's name for it is "Bacillus sp. FJAT-27997 Bacillaceae-1 RNA". It matches the Rfam family "Bacillaceae-1 RNA". The record is from Rfam by way of RNAcentral. Lineage: Bacteria; Bacillati; Bacillota; Bacilli; Caryophanales; Bacillaceae.
CAUGAAUGACCUUCUGUUAAGAUCCGAGCACGUCCUGUGCGUAACACAGAAGUCCGCACUUCCUGUGCA